This is a non-coding RNA of Momordica charantia (bitter melon), 1034 nucleotides long. NCBI's taxonomy places the organism in Eukaryota, Viridiplantae, Streptophyta, Magnoliopsida, Cucurbitales, Cucurbitaceae. The record is from RefSeq and is a predicted model, not a curated record.
UGAAAGAAAAUCAAAAUAGGGUUUCAUCUUCUCCUUUUCCUUCUCCCUUGUUGCCCUAGCCACCACCCCCUUCCCCUUCAGUUUUACGGUGACCUCUGACGACGGCGACGGUCUCCCCAAGGUGGCGACCACACGACCCACGACACGACGACUUCCGGCGCGACGGCAGGCCAUCUCGAGUAGCAAUGGCGAUUGGAUUUUCGACGUAUUUCGACGCGGCGGCACACACAGCAGGUCACACAAUUUCUUAUCCUCUGGGAGCGUGUUCUGCAGUGGACGGCAGACCUGCAGCAGUAAGAAUCGAGCAGACCCAACGCUCCCACAGUGUUUUAGUGGCGGUGCUUUCCUCUGGUGGCUCGUCUACAAUUAUAAGCGUGUGUCUGCAGCGUUGCCGAUGUGUUUCCGAUGAGUUCUACAGCAACCCACGGCCAGCAGCAAUUUGUUAGGUUUUCGACAGGUUUCGAUGCGUACCCACACCAAAACGAAGCUUGAUUUGAGUUACCCACCCCCAUUGGCAUUGAUUCAACGUUGCCAACUCUUAUUCGGACCCAAAUCGGUGUUACUCAUCACUUUUCGGCAUCGGACCGGCAAGCCUAAGGUCAUUCGAACUCAGUUUUGGGAGCCCGAACCUCCUCGGCGUUGACCCACUCCUAUUCCAAGAGGUUUUAGUGUGAGUUAGAAACCUUUCGGCGAAGCUUAGGAACGUUAGGUUUCUUGGGGUUCUGCAGUUAAUGAGGUAACGCACGGGAAUGGUGAUGGUGAGGAGGAGAUUUGACGGAAAGAGACCAUAGCACUGCGUUAUUAAUUUUCAUGUUGAAUAGGAUAGUUGGAGUUGUUUCGUUUAGCUUGAGUUUGAUGUUUUGUUAACUGUUUAGUUUUCUAUUUAAGGAAUGAUUUAGAGUUGGGAAUUUAUUAUUCUUUGAGAACUAUAGUUUUGGUUAUCUGUUCGGAUUGUGGAAGUUGAAAUUUAUGGAAGGUAGCUAUCGUUGUGCUGUUUCAAGGAGAAAUAAAACUAGUGUUGACUUCGUUGAUAA